RNAcentral lists this transfer RNA (66 nucleotides) under Dicrocoelium dendriticum. RNAcentral's name for it is "tRNA-Asn". Lineage: Eukaryota; Metazoa; Platyhelminthes; Trematoda; Plagiorchiida; Dicrocoeliidae. The record is from RNAcentral.
GCUCGUGUAGAUUAUUAGAAAUUGCAAUGCUGUUAACUUUGAGAAGGCCUUACAGGCCCUCGGGCG